AUUGAACGCUGGCGGCAUGCUUUACACAUGCAAGUCGAACGGUAACAGGUUAAGCUGACGAGUGGCGAACGGGUGAGUAAUGCAUCGGAACGUGCCUGAUCGUGGGGGAUAACGCAGCGAAAGCUGCGCUAAUACCGCACACGAUCUGAGGAUGAAAGCGGGGGACCGUAAGGCCUCGCGCGCACGGAGAGGCAGAUGUCAGAUUAGGUAGUUGGUGGGGUAAAGGCUCACCAAGCCAACGAUCUGUAGCUGGUCUGAGAGGACGACCAGCCACACUGGGACUGAGACACGGCCCAGACUCCUACGGGAGGCAGCAGUGGGGAAUUUUGGACAAUGGGCGAAAGCCUGAUCCAGCAAUGCCGCGUGCAGGAAGAAGGCCUUCGGGUUGUAAACUGCUUUUGUACGGAGCGAAAAGGUCCCCUCUAAUACAGGGGGCUCAUGGCGGUACCGUAAGAAUAAGCACCGGCUAACUACGUGCCAGCAGCCGCAGUAA
This 493-nucleotide ribosomal RNA is filed under the name uncultured bacterium. Its description in RNAcentral is "partial 16S ribosomal RNA". It matches the Rfam family "Bacterial small subunit ribosomal RNA", at positions 29 to 523 of the family's 1533-position model. The record is from RNAcentral.